GCUUUCCUCUGGGGCAGCCUGGGUUGCCAUGAUAAGGAGGGGUUGGAUUUUCCAUGUGCUGGUGUUAUUUCUGUGGAAUCAUGGAGCCCCUGCCAUGCUUUGGUGUUGGAGAAGACACACAAAAGGAAGGGGAAUUGGGAGGACAGAUACCUCAGCCUGCUGAUAAAGGGAUUUCUGGUGAGGUGAUGAUUCAGGAGGCACAAGGAUUGCCCUGGUUCUGGAGUGGUGCCCACGCAGGGAGAGGGGAAGAAGCACUUCCAGCAUGGGAUUGGUGCCUCUGGCUCCUCCAUCCUCUGCUUCUCCACACGUGCUCUGAGGAGCUACCAGAUCCACAGGCAUCCAAGCUGCUGCCCAUCAGGGAGCUGUGGGGAAGAAGGAGCCUUUUGCAAAUCCCAGGGAUGAUUCCAAGCUCCCUAGAAUGAGUUCCAAGAUGUAAAGAGCUCUGGAUCCCCACUGGAACACCAGCACUGACACCCCUGGAAGUGUUGCUUCACCACAGCAUCACCUCUCCCACAGCCACCUCAAACUGUGGAAAAGGAGAAUUUCUGCUCAGCUCAGAUUGUGGGAAGGGAGAAUUUCUGCUCGGGGAAGCAGAACUUGUACAACAAAUUGCAUCAGAGGCAUGGGUUUUCUCAGAGAACAUGCCUAAUGGAACAGCAGCACAAUGAAUCUCUGAUUCCUCUCCGGGCCUGGCCACCCAUCCACUCAGCUGGAUGAAUCCAUUCCCUCCUGGCAGCCACAGGGGGAAUGAUGUGAGAAAAUAUGGUGAGAAGGUGCUUCAGUGAAGAAGAUUUGAGGGAUUUUCUCCUCAAAUCCCCUGCACCAUUCCCUUCCCUUCACCAGGCUGAGUAUGGGCAAUGCAGGCCAUUACUGAUAAAGGCCAGCCAGAAAUCUGAAUAUCAUUAGAAGGCCUGGGUUGUUUAUUAAAGGUUUUAACCACAGACUUGGCCUUGCUCAUGGCUUCCCUCAUCCUAUGUUAAAAAAUAUCCUAUGGAGGCAAAGAAUUAAAAGCUCAUAUGUCCU
Molecule: long non-coding RNA, 1023 nt
Filed under: Chloebia gouldiae (Gouldian finch)
Lineage: Eukaryota; Metazoa; Chordata; Aves; Passeriformes; Passeridae
Description: Erythrura gouldiae (Gouldian finch) lncRNA (ENSEGOG00005005467.1)
Source: RNAcentral